This 253-nucleotide ribosomal RNA is filed under the name uncultured bacterium. Its description in RNAcentral is "partial 16S ribosomal RNA". It matches the Rfam family "Bacterial small subunit ribosomal RNA", at positions 524 to 776 of the family's 1533-position model. The record is from RNAcentral.
UACGUAGGGUCCAAGCGUUAAUCGGAAUUACUGGGCGUAAAGCGUGUGCAGGCGGUCUCGCAAGCCCGAUGUGAAAUCCCCGGGCUUAACCUGGGAACUGCGUUGGAAACUACGAGGCUCGAGUGCGGCAGAGGGGGGUGGAAUUCCAGGUGUAGCAGUGAAAUGCGUAGAUAUCUGGAGGAACACCGAUGGCGAAGGCAGCCCUCUGGGUCAGCACUGACGCUCAUACACGAAAGCGUGGGGAGCAAACAGG